This is a long non-coding RNA of Acanthochromis polyacanthus (spiny chromis), 3003 nucleotides long. RefSeq lists it as uncharacterized. Lineage: Eukaryota; Metazoa; Chordata; Actinopteri; Pomacentridae. The record is from RefSeq and is a predicted model, not a curated record. The transcript has 3 exons.
AUUGUGUUAGCUAAUGCUGUUGAAAGACUCAUUGAUGAUUAGAAAACACUUGUUCAGUUAUGUUAGCACAUGAAUAAAAGUGAAUGAAUUUGUCUGUGUGACCUCAGACUUUUGAACGUAGCGUACAUUCAUGCCACAGUUUGUUCUUUUACUACACUUGAUACACAUUGAAAUGACAUUUUUGUGCCCUGCAUUGUCGUUUAUUUUCACUUUUCUGCUGCAUGCAUUUUGUCUUUUUUUCUACUUUCAUCACAUCUUUCCCCCCCGACUUCUUAUGCACACACAGUUUGAUUUGAUUGUGCGUCAACAAUCAUUCGCUGAUAUAAAAAUUACAUUUUUGCCCCCCAUGUUAUCAUUUUUUUCUCUGUAUACAGUUUUCCUUUUUUCUGCUCUCCUCUCAUCUUUGUCCUCCUGGCUUUGAAGUCGUUCCCAUGGCUUCUUAUGCACACACAGUCACACACUUGCACAAAAAGACACACUCUUUCUCCGCCUUUGCGGGGAUGACAGUAAUGGGAUUAUAGGAUUUCUGUUAUUCCCAUCCUCCUAAUGCGGCAGUGCAUUACCGCCCUUCUUAUUGGUGGAUUAAGCAGCGGAGGGAAAGGCGAUUGGCCUGACCUGAUGGGGAAAAGUGAAUUCCCACAAUGGCUGGUCCGGUAUUUAGCAGCAGAGCAGCACAGCCGGCUAAACUGAGUCACACGGAGCUGUGAGGGGGACGAACACAUCGAACAUCCAGCUGAAGUGUUAAGAAGGAAAACAGAAGCAGAUCAGCGUUUGUUUUGUGCUUUUGUUCCCGUCUCGGUUGUAAUUGUUUUUGCUGUAAUCCCACGCUUUCUGUGAGCAGUCGCUGCCGCUCCCUCUGAUGGUAAAUCAUUCAUUCCUGACUGGAGUCAGAGUCCACAGAGUUACAGAAUACAGCUCAGACAUGUCGGGUUUAUUUUCAGCAACCAGUCAUUUAUCAGAUUAGAUUAACUUUAUGGUCGUUACACAUGUACAAGUGCAGGUAAAGAAAUGCAGUUUGACAUCUAACCAGGGGUGCAAAAGGCAGCAAGUGCAAGAUUUAGGAAAAAAGUGUUGAUGGGUAUACAGGGUGAAUGAGACUUGAUAUAUUUUACAAAUGAAAUGGUUUGUUAUAGACGUAAUGCACAAAAUAUUGAGAUGCUAUGGACACAUUUACAGACUGUAAUACACAGUAGGAGGUGCAGUAAACGCACUAUGUCCACAGACACUGUAUAGAGCUAAAUAUGAAUGGAUAUAGAGACGAUAUGCAGAUUAUUGGGAUGCUGUAAAUAGACUGUACAGGUGCAUUGAACAUGCCAGACGAAUAGACAAAAUAUGGAUAAAGGAUGAAUGCUAUGGAGAUAUUAUCCAGACGGUGAGUUUCCAUUCAUUUGUCUGCAGACUUCAGUACACUUGGGGUUUGCCUGCUAUUUCUGUGCUGUUUUAUUCCAAGGCCUCGGCGCGCUAACACUCUGAUUAUGAAGAUUUAUACUCAGACACACACAGCUCACCCUUCAGGCACGUUUAUAACAUCAUAUUAAAUGGAUGCUAGCAGGCCGUUACGCAGCUAUCAGGGAGAUGACGGCGUGUGGUGUUUGGAUGGAUGUUAGUGUGCUAAACAGAUUAUACAUUCAAUCAGUGUCAGUGCUCAGCUUCUGGGUUGUAACACUUGUUGAAGGAUUGCUUCAGACUUCAGCCGCUUCGUAGCUCGUUUACAGAAAAGUGAUGACUCAGGCUGGCAGAGUGAACUCAAAGUACACUCCUAGACACCAUCAGGUAACAUGCACGCUCCUAGACACCAUCAGGUAACGUGCACGCUCCUGGACACCAUCAGGUAACGUGCACGCUCCUAGACACCAUCAGGUAACGUGCACGCUCCUAGACACCAUCAGGUAACGUGCACGCUCCUAGACAUCAUCAGGUAACGUGCACGCUCCUAGACACCAUCAGGUAACGUGCACGCUCCUAGACACCAUCAGGUAACGUGCACGCUCCUAGACACCAUCAGGUAACGUGCACGCUCCUAGACAUCAUCAGGUAACAUGCACGCUCCUAGACAUCAUCAGGUAGCUUGCACACUCCUAGACAUCAUCAGGUAACGUGCACAAGCCUCAGCUGCUGUAACCGAGAGCAUCCGAGCUUUGUGCAUCCGUCUGCUGCAGCGGCUCACCGUGUGGCUUAGGCUAAACCUGAUGUACUAAUAGGGGAUUAGGUGUUUUUGUCACCUCGUAAGUCGGCCUGGUGCUGAAACCCACUGAGUGAGAUUAACUCCCCCUGACUGCCACAGAGCCUGUCUGAUGGAGGAAGUUCUGCUUUUAUGUGCUUCAGUUUACGCACACAAAGACACAAUAAUCAAUAAUGCUGCAGUUCUUUACUACAAAGGUGUAAAAUUAUGAAUAAUAUAUGAUUUGUACUCCGUAUGCUUGUGAUCCUAUUUGCAACUUUUUCAUUCCCAAGUCUGUUUAUUUAUCGAGAUUGAAGAAUAUGUUUUUUGUUUUUGGGAUGCCAAAUACUGGUGAUCAAGAAAAUCUAUAUUUUAACGUUUUACCAGCAUGUGGUAGCAGAGAACCUGUCAGUCGUAACUAAACGUCGGUGAUAAUAACUGAAUAUGUAAAAUAAAACAGGAGGGAUUAAAUCAUCUGUUUAUGUGAGAUUGAUCAGUUUGAUUAGUUUGUCUUUUACUUUUAUUUCCCGCUAAGGUUUGUAUCUUAAAGCUUUAUUAAUUAUUGUUUUCCCCUGUUUCAGGUUAAUCUGUGGCCUCCUGCUAACUUUCCUGCUAGCUGUUAGCAUAGCCUUAGCCGCUGUAGAAGCUAAUUUCCCGGUUUGUGGCUACGACUUGUGUUUCUUAGUCAGCUUUUGUGUUUGAGAGGUCAAGAACUGACGAAGAAACGAUGCCGAUAAUCAGAAAAAAAAGAAAGUUAUCGACCAGGCGAACAAUUAGUCUAACCUGAGUUUUAUAUAUUUGCUUAAUUUUUGCUAAACGCUGUGAAUAACGAGUGUCUUGUG